AGACCCGAAACCCGGUGAUCUAGCCAUGGGCAGGUUGAAGGUUGGGUAACACUAACUGGAGGACCGAACCGACUAAUGUUGAAAAAUUAGCGGAUGACCUGUGGCUGGGGGUGAAAGGCCAAUCAAACCGGGAGAUAGCUGGUUCUCCCCGAAAGCUAUUUAGGUAGCGCCUCGUGAAUUCAUCUCCGGGGGUAGAGCACUGUUUCGGCUAGGGGGCCAUCCCGGCUUACCAACCCGAUGCAAACUGCGAAUACCGGAGAAUGUUAUCACGGGAGACACACGGCGGGUGCUAACGUCCGUCGUGAAGAGGGAAACAACCCAGACCGCCAGCUAAGGUCCCAAAGUCAUGGUUAAGUGGGAAACGAUGUGGGAAGGCCCAGACAGCCAGGAUGUUGGCUUAGAAGCAGCCAUCAUUUAAAGAAAGCGUAAUAGCUCACUGGUCGAGUCGGCCUGCGCGGAAGAUGUAACGGGGCUAAACCAUGCACCGAAGCUGCGGCAGCGAACGUAUCACCCAAGACAACUUUACGGAGUUGACGAUUGACGGAGCGAAGCGACGUCAAAGCGUUCAUUAAAGUCGAGUUGGCUUAGGGAUACGUUCGUUGGGUAGGGGAGCGUUCUGUAAGCCUGUGAAGGUGUGUCGUGAGGCAUGCUGGAGGUAUCAGAAGUGCGAAUGCUGACAUAAGUAACGAUAAAGCGGGUGAAAAGCCCGCUCGCCGGAAGACCAAGGGUUCCUGUCCAACGUUAAUCGGGGCAGGGUGAGUCGACCCCUAAGGCGAGGCCGAAAGGCGUAGUCGAUGGGAAACGGGUUAAUAUUCCCGUACUUGGUGUUACUGCGAAGGGGGGACGGAGAAGGCUAUGUUGGCCGGGCGACGGUUGUCCCGGUUUAAGCGUGUAGGUGUGUGUUCCAGGUAAAUCCGGUUCACUUUAACACUGAGGCGUGACGACGAGGCACUACGGUGCUGAAGCAACAAAUGCCCUGCUUCCAGGAAAAGCCUCUAAGCAUCAGGUAACAUCAAAUCGUACCCCAAACCGACACAGGUGGUCAGGUAGAGAAUACCAAGGCGCUUGAGAGAACUCGGGUGAAGGAACUAGGCAAAAUGGUGCCGUAACUUCGGGAGAAGGCACGCUGACACGUAGGUGAAGUGAUUUACUCAUGGAGCUGAAGUCAGUCGAAGAUACCAGCUGGCUGCAACUGUUUAUUAAAAACACAGCACUGUGCAAACACGAAAGUGGACGUAUACGGUGUGACGCCUGCCCGGUGCCGGAAGGUUAAUUGAUGGGGUCAGCGCAAGCGAAGCUCCUGAUCGAAGCCCCGGUAAACGGCGGCCGUAACUAUAACGGUCCUAAGGUAGCGAAAUUCCUUGUCGGGUAAGUUCCGACCUGCACGAAUGGCGUAAUGAUGGCCAGGCUGUCUCCACCCGAGACUCAGUGAAAUUGAACUCGCUGUGAAGAUGCAGUGUACCCGCGGCAAGACGGAAAGACCCCGUGAACCUUUACUAUAGCUUGACACUGAACAUUGAGCCUUGAUGUGUAGGAUAGGUGGGAGGCUUUGAAGUGUGGACGCCAGUCUGCAUGGAGCCGACCUUGAAAUACCACCCUUUAAUGUUUGAUGUUCUAACGUGGACCCGUAAUCCGGGUUGCGGACAGUGUCUGGUGGGUAGUUUGACUGGGGCGGUCUCCUCCUAAAGAGUAACGGAGGAGCACGAAGGUUGGCUAAUCCUGGUCGGACAUCAGGAGGUUAGUGCAAUGGCAUAAGCCAGCUUGACUGCGAGCGUGACGGCGCGAGCAGGUGCGAAAGCAGGUCAUAGUGAUCCGGUGGUUCUGAAUGGAAGGGCCAUCGCUCAACGGAUAAAAGGUACUCCGGGGAUAACAGGCUGAUACCGCCCAAGAGUUCAUAUCGACGGCGGUGUUUGGCACCUCGAUGUCGGCUCAUCACAUCCUGGGGCUGAAGUAGGUCCCAAGGGUAUGGCUGUUCGCCAUUUAAAGUGGUACGCGAGCUGGGUUUAGAACGUCGUGAGACAGUUCGGUCCCUAUCUGCCGUGGGCGCUGGAGAACUGAGGGGGGCUGCUCCUAGUACGAGAGGACCGGAGUGGACGCAUCACUGGUGUUCGGGUUGUCAUGCCAAUGGCACUGCCCGGUAGCUAAAUGCGGAAGAGAUAAGUGCUGAAAGCAUCUAAGCACGAAACUUGCCCCGAGAUGAGUUCUCCCUGAGACUUAGAGUCUCCUGAAGGAACGUUGAAGA
Molecule: ribosomal RNA, 2242 nt
Filed under: Salmonella enterica subsp. enterica serovar Typhimurium
Lineage: Bacteria; Pseudomonadati; Pseudomonadota; Gammaproteobacteria; Enterobacterales; Enterobacteriaceae
Description: partial 23S ribosomal RNA
Rfam family: Bacterial large subunit ribosomal RNA
Source: RNAcentral